Cylas formicarius (sweet potato weevil) is the source of this 510-nucleotide long non-coding RNA. RefSeq lists it as uncharacterized. The transcript is spliced from 3 exons. The record is from RefSeq and is a predicted model, not a curated record. Lineage: Eukaryota; Metazoa; Arthropoda; Insecta; Coleoptera; Brentidae.
GGUUCGAACAAGUUCAAGUGAUUUCGAGCUUUUCGUCGAUCAUUAAUCCGUAACUACGGGCGGGCCUGUCAUUUGUUGAACCACAUAAAGCGUAGUGCUUGAGGUGUCUAAUUAGGUGUACUGUUAAGAAAUUUUGGAGUAACGAUGACGCUCACAACUAUUCCACGUUGCAAAAAAAUUGAAACACGAUGUGGUCGACUAGCAGGUCGAUUUUAAAUACAAAGCGAAUCUUUCCUUUGCUAUGUGCAAAAAAAGGCCAUUUGCAGGAAGAAACAAAAAAUAACAAUAACAAUUUUGGCCAUAAAGUUUUCGGGAUUUUUUUGAGUCGACUUGAGCAGUUUAUACCACCGUAGCUGGAAUCAAUGUUCUGUAGGACAUCGGUCGAUGUCGCUAAUGACGGAAGUAUCUCCGACUUUAUCUCCUCUUCAUCCAAAUGAAGCGCAAAAAAUUUAUGGAUGAAACCAACCUUAAAAGUGCGUUUCAUAGUAACUCUAGAAUAUUUUGUAGAUG